GAUGAAGAACGAGCGAAAUGCGAUACUUGGUGUGAAUUGCAGAAUCCCGUGAACCAUCGAGUCUUUGAACGCAAGUUGCGCCCGAAGCCAUUAGGCCGAGGGCACGCCUGCCUGGGCGUCACACGUCGUUGCCCCCCCCCAUCUACUCCUUCGGGAUUGCGGGGGGCGGAUGAUGGCCUCCCGUGCGCCUCGCCGCGCGGUUGGCAUAAAUGCCAAGUCCUCGGCGACGCACGCCACGACAAUCGGUGGUUGCGAAACCUCGGUUGCCCGUCGUGUGCGGUCGUCGCGCAUCGAGGGCUCGAAAAAAUUGCCGAGUUCCGGCUCGGCUUUCAACGCGACCCCAGGUCAGGCGGGGUUACCCGCUGAAUUUAAGCAUAUCAAUAAGCGGAGGA
This 392-nucleotide unclassified non-coding RNA is filed under the name soil metagenome. RNAcentral's name for it is "partial contains 5.8S ribosomal RNA, internal transcribed spacer 2, and large subunit ribosomal RNA". The stretch from base 1 to 121 matches the Rfam family "5.8S ribosomal RNA", at positions 35 to 154 of the family's 154-position model. The record is from RNAcentral.